Molecule: long non-coding RNA, 348 nt
Organism: Coturnix japonica (Japanese quail)
Lineage: Eukaryota; Metazoa; Chordata; Aves; Galliformes; Phasianidae
Source: RefSeq, a predicted model, not a curated record
AAUAGAAGCAGGACAAAGCACAUAAAUUCAUUUAAAUGUGGCCAUCCACGGAGAUGUAAAAGAUUUGGUGAACAGCUGUCAGCCUUCUUAUAAAACACCCUUAGUUGACAGAUGGGAAGGAAAACAGGCAAUAGCAAGAUGUUUCAGGCUACCGGCUUUCCAGAUUACAAAGCCAUUUACUGGGAUGAAUAAUCCAUGUUUCCCAUGUUUUGACUGAAUACAUUUAACGUCGUGGAUUGCAUUAACUUUGUAGUAAAAGAUAUACUUAACAUGUAUUAUUCAACUAAAAUAUUAGGCACAUGUAAACGUUUGCAAAUAGUGAAAAUAAACUAUACUUACUCCACAGUA